RNAcentral lists this ribosomal RNA (305 nucleotides) under uncultured bacterium. Its description in RNAcentral is "bacterial SSU rRNA". It matches the Rfam family "Bacterial small subunit ribosomal RNA", at positions 337 to 639 of the family's 1533-position model. The record is from RNAcentral.
UCCUACGGGAGGCAGCAGUGAGGAAUAUUGGUCAAUGGACGAGAGUCUGAACCAGCCAAGUAGCGUGAAGGAUGACUGCCCUAUGGGUUGUAAACUUCUUUUAUAUGGGAAUAAAGUUCUCCACGUGUGGAAUUUUGUAUGUACCAUAUGAAUAAGGAUCGGCUAACUCCGUGCCAGCAGCCGCGGUAAUACGGUGGAUCCGAGCGUUAUCCGGAUUUAUUGGGUCUAAAGGGAGCGUAGGUGGAUUGUUAAGUCAGUUGUGAAAGUUUGCGGCUCAACCGUAAAAUUGCAGUUGGAACUGGCAG